AUUGAACGCUGGCGGCAGGCCUAACACAUGCAAGUCGAGCGGAUGAAGGGAGCUUGCUCCUGGAUUCAGCGGCGGACGGGUGAGUAAUGCCUAGGAAUCUGCCUGGUAGUGGGGGAUAACGUCCGGAAACGGGCGCUAAUACCGCAUACGUCCUGAGGGAGAAAGUGGGGGAUCUUCGGACCUCACGCUAUCGGAUGAUCCUAGGUGGGAUUAGCUAGUUGGUGGGGUAAAGGCCUACCAAGGCGACGAUCCGUAACUGCUCUGAGCGGAUGAUCAGUCACACUGAAACUGAGACACGGUCCAGACUCCUACGGGAGGCAGCAGUGGGGAAUAUUGGACAAUGGGCGAAAGCCUGAUCCAGCCAUGCCGCGUGGGUGAAGAAGGUCUUCGGAUUGUAAAGCACUUUAGGUUGGGAGGAAGGGCAGUAAGUUAAUACCUUGCUGUUUUGACGUUACCAACAGAAUAAGCACCGGCUAACUUCGUG
RNAcentral lists this ribosomal RNA (484 nucleotides) under uncultured bacterium. RNAcentral describes it as "partial 16S ribosomal RNA". It matches the Rfam family "Bacterial small subunit ribosomal RNA", at positions 30 to 507 of the family's 1533-position model. The record is from RNAcentral.